This 1437-nucleotide ribosomal RNA is filed under the name Meloidogyne javanica (root-knot nematode). RNAcentral describes it as "SSU rRNA". It matches the Rfam family "Eukaryotic small subunit ribosomal RNA", at positions 1 to 1411 of the family's 1831-position model. Lineage: Eukaryota; Metazoa; Nematoda; Chromadorea; Rhabditida; Meloidogynidae. The record is from RNAcentral.
UCUGGUUGAUCCUGCCUGAACUGAUGUGUUCAUUUCAAAGAUUAAGCCAUGCAUGUAUAAGUUUAAUCGUUUUAACGAGAAACCGCGAACGGCUCAUUACAAUGGCCAUGAUUUACUUGAUCUUGAUUAUCUAAAUGGAUAACUGUGGAAAAGCUAGAGCUAAUACAUGCACCAAAGCUUUGUCCUCUCGGAAAAGCGCAUUUAUUAGAAUAAAACCACGCGGCUUCGGCUGCUUCUUGUUGACUCAGAAUAACUAAGCUGACCGCAUGGCCUUGUGCCGGCGGCGUGUCUUUCAAGCGUCCACUUUAUCAACUUGACGGGAGCAUAAUCGACUCCCGUGGUGGUGACGGAUAACGGAGGAUCAGGGUUCGACUCCGGAGAAGGGGCCUGAGAAAUGGCCACUACGUCUAAGGAUGGCAGCAGGCGCGCAAAUUACCCACUCUCGGCUCGAGGAGGUAGUGACGAGAAAUAACGAGAUCGUUCUCUUUGAGGCCGGUCAUCGGAAUGGGUACAAUUUAAACCCUUUAACGAGUAUCAAGCAGAGGGCAAGUCUGGUGCCAGCAGCCGCGGUAAUUCCAGCUCUGCUAAUACAUAGAAUUAUUGCUGCGGUUAAAAAGCUCGUAGUUGGAUUCGUAUCGGUACCCUGGAACCCUCCGGGUGUUUCUGGGUGUUAUCGAUUUAUCGUAAUGUUCGGUUUUGAGUCCUUAACAGGAUUCUUAACAGGCAUUGCAAGUUUACUUUGAACAAAUCAGAGUGCUUCAAACAGGCGUUUUCGCUUGAAUGAUCGUGCAUGGAAUAAUAGAAAACGAUUUCGGUUCAGUUUUAUUGGUUUUACGGACUGAGAUAAUGGUUAACAGAGACAAACGGGGGCAUUUGUAUGGCCCCGUGAGAGGUGAAAUUCUUGGACCGUGGCCAGACAAACUACAGCGAAAGCAUUUGCCAAGAAUGUCUUCAUUAAUCAAGAACGAAAGUCAGAGGUUCGAAGGCGAUCAGAUACCGCCCUAGUUCUGACCGUAAACGAUGCCAACUAGCGAUCCGCCGAUGGAAAUUAUAUUGCCUUGGUGGGGAGCUUCCCGGAAACGAAAGUCUUCCGGUUCCGGGGGAAGUAUGGUUGCAAAGCUGAAACUUAAAGGAAUUGACGGAAGGGCACCACCAGGAGUGGAGCCUGCGGCUUAAUUUGACUCAACACGGGGAAACUCACCCGGCCCGGACACUGUGAGGAUUGACAGAUUGAUAGCUUUUUCAUGAUUCAGUGGAUGGUGGUGCAUGGCCGUUCUUAGUUCGUGGAGUGAUUUGUCUGGUUUAUUCCGAUAACGAGCGAGACUCUAACCUACUAAAUAGCUGGUACAUAAUUUAAGUGUAUACAGCUUCUGUAAUAACUUCGUAUAGCAUUUAUUCAUACGAAGUUAUUACGUUUUUAACCAGUCGAGAGCCCCG